AGCGAACAGAAAAGGAGCUUGCUCCUUUGACGUUAGCGGCGGACGGGUGAGUAACACGUGGGCAACCUACCCUAUAGUUUGGGAUAACUCCGGGAAACCGGGGCUAAUACCGAAUAAUCUCUUUUGCUUCAUGGUGAAAGACUGAAAGACGGUUUCGGCUGUCGCUAUAGGAUGGGCCCGCGGCGCAUUAGCUAGUUGGUGAGGUAACGGCUCACCAAGGCGACGAUGCGUAGCCGACCUGAGAGGGUGAUCGGCCACACUGGGACUGAGACACGGCCCAGACUCCUACGGGAGGCAGCAGUAGGGAAUCUUCCACAAUGGGCGAAAGCCUGAUGGAGCAACGCCGCGUGAGUGAAGAAGGUUUUCGGAUCGUAAAACUCUGUUGUAAGGGAAGAACAAGUACAGUAGUAACUGGCUGUACCUUGACGGUACCUUAUUAGAAAGCCACGGCUAACUACGUGCCAGCAGCCGCGGUAAUACGUAGGUGGCAAGCGUUGUCCGGAAUUAUUGGGCGUAAAGCGCGCGCAGGCGGUCCUUUAAGUCUGAUGUGAAAGCCCACGGCUCAACCGUGGAGGGUCAUUGGAAACUGGGGGACUUGAGUGCAGAAGAGGAAAGUGGAAUUCCAAGUGUAGCGGUGAAAUGCGUAGAGAUUUGGAGGAACACCAGUGGCGAAGGCGACUUUCUGGUCUGUAACUGACGCUGUGGCGCGAAAGCGUGGGGAGCAAACAGGAUUUAGAUACCCCUGGUAGUCCACGCCGUAAACGAUGAGUGCUAAGUGUUAAGGGGGUUUUCCGCCCCCUUAGUGCUGCAGCUUACCGCAUUAAGGCACCUCUGCCCUGGGGGAGUUACGGUCCGCAAGACUGGAACUUCAAAGGAAUUUGACGGGUGCCCGCACAAGCGUGAAGCAUGUGGUUAAUUCGAAGGCAACGCCGAAGAACUACAAGGUCUUGACUUCCCGGUUGACCACUGUGAGCAUUAGUUCCUUCA
Molecule: ribosomal RNA, 987 nt
Filed under: Lysinibacillus fusiformis
Lineage: Bacteria; Bacillati; Bacillota; Bacilli; Caryophanales; Bacillaceae
Description: bacterial SSU rRNA
Rfam family: Bacterial small subunit ribosomal RNA
Source: RNAcentral